GUCUCUGGCCAUACCACCCUGAGCAUGCCUGACCCCAUCUGAUCUCAGAAGCAGGAUCAGGCCUGGUUAGAACUUGGAUGGGAGAAGAAUGCACAGAUUACUAGAUAGGCACAAAUU
RNAcentral lists this ribosomal RNA (117 nucleotides) under Octodon degus (degu). The record is from RNAcentral. Lineage: Eukaryota; Metazoa; Chordata; Mammalia; Rodentia; Octodontidae.